Molecule: ribosomal RNA, 565 nt
Filed under: uncultured bacterium
Lineage: Bacteria
Description: partial 16S ribosomal RNA
Rfam family: Bacterial small subunit ribosomal RNA
Source: RNAcentral
UGGGGAAUUUUUGGACAAUGGGGGGAAACCCUGAUCCAGCCAUCCCGCGUGUGCGAUGAAGGCCUUCGGGUUGUAAAGCACUUUUGGCAGGAAAGAAACGUCGCGGGUUAAUACCCCGCGGAACUGACGGUACCUGCAGAAUAAGCACCGGCUAACUACGUGCCAGCAGCCGCGGUAAUACGUAGGGUGCAAGCGUUAAUCGGAAUUACUGGGCGUAAAGCGUGCGCAGGCGGUUCGGAAAGAAAGAUGUGAAAUCCCAGAGCUUAACUUUGGAACUGCAUUUUUAACUACCGGGCUAGAGUGUGUCAGAGGGAGGUGGAAUUCCGCGUGUAGCAGUGAAAUGCGUAGAUAUGCGGAGGAACACCGAUGGCGAAGGCAGCCUCCUGGGAUAACACUGACGCUCAUGCACGAAAGCGUGGGGAGCAAACAGGAUUAGAUACCCUGGUAGUCCACGCCCUAAACGAUGUCAACUAGCUGUUGGGGUCUUCGGACCUUGGUAGCGCAGCUAACGCGUGAAGUUGACCGCCUGGGGAGUACGGUCGCAAGAUUAAAACUCAAAGGAAUU